Non-coding RNA from Podarcis lilfordi (Lilford's wall lizard), 73 nucleotides. Lineage: Eukaryota; Metazoa; Chordata; Lepidosauria; Squamata; Lacertidae. The record is from the annotation of a GenBank genome assembly.
GAUGGAUUGCUCAGUUGGUUAGAGAAUGGUGCUGAUAACGCCAAGGUUGCAAGUUCAAUCCCUGUUUCAGACA